This is a small nucleolar RNA of Carassius auratus (goldfish), 217 nucleotides long. Ensembl annotates it as small nucleolar RNA U3. The record is from Ensembl. NCBI's taxonomy places the organism in Eukaryota, Metazoa, Chordata, Actinopteri, Cypriniformes, Cyprinidae.
AAGACUAUACUUUCAGGGAUCAUUUCUAUAGUUCUUAACUAGGAAAUGUGUUUCGAAAGUGAUGCGUCUCCCACACCACGAUGAAGAGAUUGGAUACUUUCUUCUGAGCGUGAAUCGGAUGUAGAGUAAUGAUUUGGUUCAUACGCUUUACAUCAUUGAUGAACGUUCCUUGCUGCAGUCAUGCGGUUUGGAGGAAGAGAGUAUGAUCAGAGUGGUU